This 465-nucleotide ribosomal RNA is filed under the name uncultured bacterium. RNAcentral's name for it is "partial 16S ribosomal RNA". It matches the Rfam family "Bacterial small subunit ribosomal RNA", at positions 338 to 795 of the family's 1533-position model. The record is from RNAcentral.
CCUACGGGAGGCAGCAGUAGGGAAUCUUCCACAAUGGGCGAAAGCCUGAUGGAGCAACGCCGCGUGGGUGAAGAAGGUCUUCGGAUCGUAAAACCCUGUUGUUAGAGAAGAAAGUGCGUGAGAGUAACUGUUCACGUUUCGACGGUAUCUAACCAGACAGCCACGGCUAACUACGUGCCAGCAGCCGCGGUAAUACGUAGGUGGCAAGCGUUAUCCGGAUUUAUUGGGCGUAAAGGGAACGCAGGCGGUCUUUUAAGUCUGAUGUGAAAGCCUUCGGCUUAACCGGAGUAGUGCAUUGGAAACUGGGAGACUGGAGUGCAGAAGAGGAGAGUGGAACUCCAUGUGUAGCGGUGAAAUGCGUAGAUAUAUGGAAGAACACCAGUGGCGAAAGCGGCUCUCUGGUCUGUAACUGACGCUGAGGUUCGAAAGCGUGGGUAGCAAACAGGAUUAGAUACCCCUGUAGUC